Molecule: ribosomal RNA, 464 nt
Filed under: uncultured bacterium
Lineage: Bacteria
Description: partial 16S ribosomal RNA
Rfam family: Bacterial small subunit ribosomal RNA
Source: RNAcentral
GAUGAACGCUGGCGGCGUGCUUAACACAUGCAAGUCGAACGGAAAGGCUCAAGCUUGCUUGGGUACUCGAGUGGCGAACGGGUGAGUAACACGUGGGUGAUCUGCCCUGCACUUCGGGAUAAGCCUGGGAAACUGGGUCUAAUACCGGAUAGGACCACAUUUUGGAUGGUGUGGUGGAAAGUUUUUCGGUGUGGGAUGAGCUCGCGGCCUAUCAGCUUGUUGGUGGGGUAAUGGCCUACCGAGGCGUCGACGGGUAGCCGGCCUGAGAGGGUGUACGGCCACAUUGGGACUGAGAUACGGCCCAGACUCCUACGGGAGGCAGCAGUGGGGAAUAUUGCACAAUGGGCGCAAGCCUGAUGCAGCGACGCCGCGUGGGGGAUGACGGCCUUCGGGUUGUAAACUCCUUUCGCUAGGGACGAAGCGCAAGUGACGGUACCUGGAGAAGAAGCACCGGCUAACUACGU